RNAcentral lists this ribosomal RNA (884 nucleotides) under uncultured eukaryote. RNAcentral's name for it is "SSU rRNA". It matches the Rfam family "Eukaryotic small subunit ribosomal RNA", at positions 568 to 1471 of the family's 1831-position model. The record is from RNAcentral.
CAGCAGCCGCGGUAAUUCCAGCUCCAAUAGCGUAUACUAAAGUUGUUGCGGUUAAAAAGCUCGUAGUUGGAUCUUGGAAUGUGUUCAAGCGGGUCAGCUUCUGGCUGUGCGCUGCUUGACGUGUUCUUCUAUUUGGUUUUGGUGCGGUGCGCUUAACUGCGUGUCGCUCCCGGCCGAAACGUUUACCUUGAAAAAAUUAGAGUGUUCAAAGCAGACCUGUUUGAGUCUGAAUAUUCGUGCAUGGAAUAAUGAAAUAUGAAUUCGGUUCUAUUUUGUUGGUUUUCGGAACUCGAGUUAAUGAUCAAGAGGGACAGACGGGGGCAUUCGUACUCUGCCGUUAGAGGUGAAAUUCUUGGAUCGGCGGAAGACGCGCAACUGCGAAAGCAUUUGCCAAGAAUGUUUUCUUUAAUCAAGAACGAUAGUCGGAGGUUCGAAGACGAUCAGAUACCGUCCUAGUUUCGACUGUAAACUAUGCCAGCUAACGAUCAGACAGAGUUCUCUACGACUUGUCUGGCAGUUUCCGGGAAACCAAAGCGUUUGGGUUCCGGGGGAAGUAUGGUUGCAAAGCUGAAACUUAAAGGAAUUGACGGAAGGGCACCACCAGGAGUGGAGCCUGCGGCUUAAUUUGACUCAACACGGGGAAACUCACCCGGCCCGGACACAGUGAGGAUUGACAGAUUGAGAGUUCUUUCUUGAUUCUGUGGGUGGUGGUGCAUGGCCGUUCUUAGUUGGUGGAGCGAUUUGUCUGGUUAAUUCCGAUAACGAACGAGACUCUGGCAUGUUAAAUAGUCGCGGAAGUGCGUAUGCACUUGCCGAAUUGACUUCUUAGAGGGACUAGUGAUUUUAAUUCACACGAGAUUGAGCAAUAACAGGUCUGUGAUGCC